UACGGAGGGUGCGAGCGUUGUCCGGAAUCAUUGGGCGUAAAGGGCGCGUAGGUGGCCUGCUAAGCGUGCGGUGAAAGUCGGGGGGCUCAACCCCCCGAUCGGCCGUGCGAACUGGGAGGCUUGAGCACUGUAGAGGCAGGCGGAAUUCCGGGGUGUAGCGGUGGAAUGCGUAGAGAUCCGGAAGAACACCGGUGGCGAAGGCGGUCUGCUGGGGGUGAGGCUGACGCUGAUGCGCGACAGCGUGGGGGAGCAAACAGG
Molecule: ribosomal RNA, 258 nt
Filed under: uncultured bacterium
Lineage: Bacteria
Description: partial 16S ribosomal RNA
Rfam family: Bacterial small subunit ribosomal RNA
Source: RNAcentral